AAAGAUUAAGCCAUGCAUGUCUAAGUAUAAACAAAUUUAUACAGUGAGACUGCGAAUGGCUCAUUAAAUCAGUUAUAAUUUAUUUGAUAUUCACUUACUACUUGGAUAACCGUGGUAAUUCUAGAGCUAAUACAUGCAAUGAAACCCGGCUUCUGGAAGGGUUGUAUUUAUUAGAUAAAAAACCAAUGCAGGGGCAACCCUGGUUACUUGGUGAUUCAUAAUAACUAAACGAAUCGUACGGCCUAGCGCCAACGAUGAUUCAUUCAAGUUUCUGCCCUAUCAACUUUCGAUGGUAAGGUAUUGGCUUACCAUGGUUA
RNAcentral lists this ribosomal RNA (317 nucleotides) under uncultured Ichthyosporea. Its description in RNAcentral is "bacterial SSU rRNA". It matches the Rfam family "Eukaryotic small subunit ribosomal RNA", at positions 39 to 352 of the family's 1831-position model. Lineage: Eukaryota; Ichthyosporea. The record is from RNAcentral.